RNAcentral lists this ribosomal RNA (426 nucleotides) under uncultured bacterium. Its description in RNAcentral is "bacterial SSU rRNA". It matches the Rfam family "Bacterial small subunit ribosomal RNA", at positions 355 to 774 of the family's 1533-position model. The record is from RNAcentral.
UAGGGAAUAUUGGACAAUGGGGGCAACCCUGAUCCAGCCAUGCCGCGUGAGUGAAGAAGGCCCUCGGGUUGUAAAGCUCUUUUGUCCGGAAAGAAAAGCUUCGGUUAAUACCCCGGGGUUCUGACGGUACCGGAAGAAUAAGCACCGGCUAACUUCGUGCCAGCAGCCGCGGUAAUACGAAGGGUGCAAGCGUUACUCGGAAUUACUGGGCGUAAAGCGUGCGUAGGUGGUUGUUUAAGUCUGAUGUGAAAGCCCUGGGCUCAACCUGGGAAUGGCAUUGGAAACUGGGCAGCUAGAGUGCGGUAGAGGGUAGUGGAAUUCCCGGUGUAGCAGUGAAAUGCGUAGAGAUCGGGAGGAACAUCUGUGGCGAAGGCGACUGCCUGGACCAGCACUGACACUGGGGCACGAAAGCGUGGGGAGCAAACA